CCUCAAGGGGCUGUGAUGCACAAAGACUGAGUUUCUGAAGCUCCUGCUACUCUGUCAAUUGUACACAAGGACAAAGAAACAGUAUGGCAGCUGACCUAUGCCUCAUCACCUGCACACAGAACCUCAAAGUUGAGCAACAGAUGGCCAGUAGCUCUCAGUCAACAGGAUUCAGAGGCAAGAGAGCAGCCUCACUGUUAAGUAACAGCAGCUGCUUUACGAAGAGACUGUAUUUCAACUUGAGGGGGAAUGACACAUGCCUAG
This 261-nucleotide long non-coding RNA is filed under the name Gallus gallus (chicken). The record is from RNAcentral. Lineage: Eukaryota; Metazoa; Chordata; Aves; Galliformes; Phasianidae.